GAGGUCAAAACACAAUUUAAAAAAGUAGUGUCAUGUCAGCAGCCACGUCAGCAACCCGGUCAGCAGCCCCGGUCAACCAGGACAUGCCGUGUAGCAGGGACGUUGAUGCGGGGAGCCACGCAGGACGGAGACAUGUGGGCGAACUGUGUGUGCGCGAUCAGACAGCCCAGAUCCGUUCCCGCGUACACGAACUGCCCAGAUCAAGAGUGCGUGCGGACAGCCCAGAUCUCAUGCGUGCAGACGGCCCAGAUUCAUUC
This 257-nucleotide long non-coding RNA is filed under the name Carica papaya (papaya). RNAcentral's name for it is "long non-coding RNA (CPAP_LNC012328)". Lineage: Eukaryota; Viridiplantae; Streptophyta; Magnoliopsida; Brassicales; Caricaceae. The record is from RNAcentral.